This 172-nucleotide microRNA precursor is filed under the name Pelobates cultripes (western spadefoot toad). Lineage: Eukaryota; Metazoa; Chordata; Amphibia; Anura; Pelobatidae. The record is from RNAcentral.
CAGCAGACACAUUCCAGCCAAUCAGCAGCAGACCCUCCCUCUCAGACCCUCCCACCUCCUUGACAGCAUCCAUUUUACAUUCAUUGUGAAGCUGCAUUCUUAGUGAGCUGUCCAGGAGGUGGGAGGGUUUGGGAGGGAGGGUCUGCUGCUGAUUGGCUGGAAUGUGUCUGCU